GAUCUAUUUAACUCUGGUUGUGGAAGAUAUGAAGACAGGUUUACAUAAGAUUAUUAUAUUGGGUUUUUACAAGAAGGAUGUUGUGUUUAGCUUAGUAACUAGAAUUUUAGGAUGGGGGUAACCCCGAUUGGGCUGUUUUCAGUGGAGUGGUGAAUGCUCAGUGCCAGCAUCCGCGGUUAUUCUGUUAGCUUUUUCUUCGGGAGGAUUGGCAUAAAAUAUUUAGGAUUUAGGGUUUUCAGAUUUGGGUAAAAUUUUUCUGAGGUUGAAACAAGAUUCUAAGGAUUUCGGCUUUAUGGUUAUAGAGGAGGAUUAGAUACCCUCGUAUAGAUAGAUUGAGUUUGUGUCCUUAGUAUAAACUAAAAGGGUUUGGCAGCUGGUAAAAUUCGGCCGGGGGAACGUGUGUCAUAAUAGAUAGUCCGCUUAGUAGCUGACCUUAAUUAUGUUUGUUAGUGUAUAUCCGGGUUGAAGAUUUGUGAUUUGUGUCUAUGAGUGUAAUAUUUGGAUUUAAGCCAGGUCAAUGUGCUGCUAAUAUUAGGGGGGAUUAUGCGUUACGUUAAUAAAAUGUUUGUUGUGGGUGCGACAAAUAUAUUUAGGACUCGGAAGUAGGCUUGAUGUAGUGGUUUUGAAGUUAGUGCUUUAGGUCGAAUGUGAUUUUAGCUGGGGUACACACCGCCCGUCANNNCCCAGGACGUUAGUCGUGGUAAGUCGUAACAUGGUAGUGCUUGGGGAACC
Molecule: ribosomal RNA, 732 nt
Filed under: Fasciolopsis buskii
Lineage: Eukaryota; Metazoa; Platyhelminthes; Trematoda; Plagiorchiida; Fasciolidae
Description: Fasciolopsis buski small subunit ribosomal RNA
Source: RNAcentral